Halichondria panicea is the source of this 1080-nucleotide long non-coding RNA. RefSeq lists it as uncharacterized. The transcript is spliced from 6 exons. Lineage: Eukaryota; Metazoa; Porifera; Demospongiae; Suberitida; Halichondriidae. The record is from RefSeq and is a predicted model, not a curated record.
CAGCAAAUUAAUGUACCUUGUGAUGGUACUUGUUCAUUUGGCUGUGCUGUUGUCAACAACAUGGAAAAAUGUUACUGCCCACCUGGAUUCCAGCUUGAUGUACCUGGGGAAACACAAUGCGUCGAUACUAAUGAAUGCCAGUUGAAUAUGUGUGAACAAGAGUGUAUCAACUCUAAUGGAUCGUUUUCCUGUUCAUGCACAACUGGUUACAUGCUUACAACUGAUGGACGAACAUGUACCGGGGUAUUGAUAUUGAUGAAUGUUGGCUAGCUGUGCGGGAAUCAAAUGACCUUUGUGAGAACUAUCUAAACACAGAGUGCGUUAACAACGAGGGUUCAUUUAAGUGUGUUUGUGUCCGUGGAUACACAGCAAACUCAAAUGGAAUUUGUGAGCUUGAUGAUGAACUCCCUCCGAUGAUCAGUGUGAUCAGACCACAGAAAAGUAUUGAGAAUAGUGUGAACUUCUCAUCACCUAUACUGGUUUCAGAAAAUUUCAGUCCAGAACGCCGACAAAAAUUUAGGGAAGCAAUCGCAGUUGCUGUCAAUAGUUACUGUGGGCUUACAACAUGUGAUCUUCUUCUCCCAUCUGGAGAAACUCAAAUGCAAGUCAUGAUUGCAUAUUAUACCUUCUUAUGCCAAGAAUAAUUACCAAUUGUUCUGUGCAGAUUGAUAAGACUAACAAUUAAAGCAGCUAAUGUAGCCAUACCUUCUUCGUUGAUUUAUCAAUACAUCAAUGGACAGCUUUUGUUCACCUUCUAUGUACAAGUUGGUGAUGCCUUCCUAUCAAAAGAAUAUCUUAAGCCAGCAGUGCAGCAAGCUGAAGAACUCUAUCGAGAUGGAUUGCUGCCUCUCCUCACAGCACAAUCCCUUCAUUUUCAUAUCCUGUCACCACACCUAGAUCUACAACCUUGAUCAAGACGAUUUUAGAAGAUACUCAAAUAAUUGCCAUAGCAGCUGGAGCUGGUGGACCAGUGCUCGUAAUCAUGACAGUACUACUCAGUCUCUUAUGGUGUCUAUAAUUGUGCUGUAUGUGUUGCUGAAUGAUACUACAAAUAUAUAAAUAUACAUAUAAGUAUACAAA